GAAUUCGCCCUUAGAGUUUGAUCCUGGCUCAAAUUGAACGCUGGCGGCAGGCCUAACACAUGCAAGUCGAGCGGUAGAGAGAAGCUUGCUUCUCUUGAGAGCGGCGGACGGGUGAGUAAUGCCUAGGAAUCUGCCUGGUAGUGGGGGAUAACGUUCGGAAACGGACGCUAAUACCGCAUACGUCCUACGGGAGAAAGCAGGGGACCUUCGGGCCUUGCGCUAUCAGAUGAGCCUAGGUCGGAUUAGCUAGUUGGUGAGGUAAUGGCUCACCAAGGCGACGAUCCGUAACUGGUCUGAGAGGAUGAUCAGUCACACUGGAACUGAGACACGGUCCAGACUCCUACGGGAGGCAGCAGUGGGGAAUAUUGGACAAUGGGCGAAAGCCUGAUCCAGCCAUGCCGCGUGUGUGAAGAAGGUCUUCGGAUUGUAAAGCACUUUAAGUUGGGAGGAAGGGCAGUUGCCUAAUACGUAACUGUUUUGACGUUACCGACAGAAUAAGCACCGGCUAACUCUGUGCCAGCAGCCGCGGUAAUACAGAGGGUGCAAGCGUUAAUCGGAAUUACUGGGCGUAAAGCGCGCGUAGGUGGUUUGUUAAGUUGGAUGUGAAAUCCCCGGGCUCAACCUGGGAACUGCAUUCAAAACUGACUGACUAGAGUAUGGUAGAGGGUGGUGGAAUUUCCUGUGUAGCGGUGAAAUGCGUAGAUAUAGGAAGGAACACCAGUGGCGAAGGCGACCACCUGGACUGAUACUGACACUGAGGUGCGAAAGCGUGGGGAGCAAACAGGAUUAGAUACCCUGGUAGUCCACGCCGUAAACGAUGUCAACUAGCCGUUGGAAGCCUUGAGCUUUUAGUGGCGCAGCUAACGCAUUAAGUUGACCGCCUGGGGAGUACGGCCGCAAGGUUAAAACUCAAAUGAAUUGACGGGGGCAAGGGCGAAUUC
This 941-nucleotide ribosomal RNA is filed under the name uncultured bacterium. Its description in RNAcentral is "bacterial SSU rRNA". It matches the Rfam family "Bacterial small subunit ribosomal RNA", at positions 1 to 932 of the family's 1533-position model. The record is from RNAcentral.